This 135-nucleotide ribosomal RNA is filed under the name Armillaria sinapina. RNAcentral describes it as "partial 28S ribosomal RNA". It matches the Rfam family "Eukaryotic large subunit ribosomal RNA", at positions 3266 to 3401 of the family's 3401-position model. Lineage: Eukaryota; Fungi; Basidiomycota; Agaricomycetes; Agaricales; Physalacriaceae. The record is from RNAcentral.
CUACGAAUUGUAAUCAUAAUAUGGGCGGCGGUGAAUCCUUUGCAGACGACUUGAAUGGGAACGGGGUACUGUAAGUGGUAGAGUAGCCUUGUUGCUACGAUCCACUGAGGUUAAGCCCUUGUUCUAAAGAUUUGU